RNAcentral lists this small nuclear RNA (138 nucleotides) under Salmo salar (Atlantic salmon). Its description in RNAcentral is "U1 spliceosomal RNA (ENSSSAG00000008069.2, ENSSSAG00020066707.1, ENSSSAG00070019913.1, ENSSSAG00075044164.1)". It matches the Rfam family "U1 spliceosomal RNA". From Rfam's summary of the family: U1 is a small nuclear RNA (snRNA) component of the spliceosome (involved in pre-mRNA splicing). Its 5' end forms complementary base pairs with the 5' splice junction, thus defining the 5' donor site of an intron. There are significant differences in sequence and secondary structure between metazoan and yeast U1 snRNAs, the latter being much longer (568 nucleotides as compared to 164 nucleotides in human). The record is from RNAcentral. Lineage: Eukaryota; Metazoa; Chordata; Actinopteri; Salmoniformes; Salmonidae.
AUUCAUACCUGGCAAUGGAGACACGGUGAUUAAGAGGACCGGGCGCGGUUCAGCCAUUGCACUCCGGCUGUGAUGAUCCCUGCACUGUUGAAAUAUCGAUUGCAACAUUUCUGGUAGCUCUGCCCUGAUCUUGCUGUC